Molecule: ribosomal RNA, 426 nt
Filed under: uncultured prokaryote
Description: bacterial SSU rRNA
Rfam family: Bacterial small subunit ribosomal RNA
Source: RNAcentral
UGGGGAAUCUUGCGCAAUGGGCGAAAGCCUGACGCAGCAACGCCGCGUGAGCGAAGAAGGCCUUCGGGUUGUAAAGCUCUGUCAGGGGGAAAGAAGGCACCUGGGUUAAUAGCCCAAGGGCUGACGGUACCCCCAAAGGAAGCCACGGCUAACUACGUGCCAGCAGCCGCGGUAAUACGUAGGUGGCGAGCGUUGUCCGGAAUCAUUGGGCGUAAAGAGCGCGUAGGUGGCUUGUCAGGUCCGAUGUGAAAACCUGGGGCUCAACUCCAGGCCUGCAUCGGAAACCGGCUUGCUAGAGUCUGGGAGAGGAGAGUGGAAUUCCUGGUGUAGCGGUGAAAUGCGUAGAUAUCAGGAGGAACACCGGUAGCGAAGGCGGCUCUCUGGAACAGUACUGACGCUGAGGCGCGAAAGCUAGGGGAGCGAACA